This 729-nucleotide ribosomal RNA is filed under the name Triticum aestivum (bread wheat). RNAcentral's name for it is "partial small subunit ribosomal RNA". The record is from RNAcentral. Lineage: Eukaryota; Viridiplantae; Streptophyta; Magnoliopsida; Poales; Poaceae.
AUGGACAGCGACGCCGACGAGAGCAAGCCGCUGCUCCACCGCUCGCCCGCCUCCACCUCGCCGACGCGGGAUGGCCCCUCCGGCAACGACGACCUAUCCGGCGAUCGGACUCGGCGCUACUCGCCCCCUCGCUCUCCUUCUCCUCCGACCCCGUCGCCGCUCGCCAAGGGGCGGUCGACCUCGCCCUCCUCGACCUCGCCGCUCGCCAAGAACCCGAUGGCCUCCGACGCCGACAAGCCCUCCAACGGCAACAGCACCAGGGGCGCGGCCUCGCCUCGUCGUUCUCCGACGCCAUCGUCGUCCGCCGACAUAGGGAAGCAAGGACAUGAGCCGCAACCGGCUCCCAAGGCGGAAGAGGAGGCGGCGGCCGACUCCAGGUCCAAGAACCACAAAGAAGAGCGAGAUAAGGCAUCUCCUGGCGAGGAGAAGGAGAAGACGGCGGAGGCACCCGCUGCUCUCAGCGAGAAGGAGAAGGCGGCGGCGGCACCCGCUGUUCUCAGCGAGAAGGGGAAGGCGGCGGCGGCACCCGCUGCUCCCAGCGAGAAGGAGAAGGCGGCGGCAGCACCCGCUGCUCUGAGCGAGAAGGAGAAGGCGGCAUCCGCCCGCAAGAAGGCGGAAAUCGCCGGCUGCUUUCCAUCCCCCUUCCCAGCGUUUCCAAUGGCGUCAACCACGUCGUCGAUGUCGAUGGCCCGUCGGUCGAUAACUCGGAAGCGGAGGGGAGGGACUUGA